GAUGAACGCUGGCGGCGUGCCUAAUACAUGCAAGUCGAGCGAACAGACGAGGAGCUUGCUCCUCUGACGUUAGCGGCGGACGGGUGAGUAACACGUGGAUAACCUACCUAUAAGACUGGGAUAACUUCGGGAAACCGGAGCUAAUACCGGAUAAUAUAUUGAACCGCAUGGUUCAAUAGUGAAAGACGGUUUUGCUGUCACUUAUAGAUGGAUCCGCGCCGCAUUAGCUAGUUGGUAAGGUAACGGCUUACCAAGGCAACGAUGCGUAGCCGACCUGAGAGGGUGAUCGGCCACACUGGAACUGAGACACGGUCCAGACUCCUACGGGAGGCAGCAGUAGGGAAUCUUCCGCAAUGGGCGAAAGCCUGAUGGAGCAACGCCGCGUGAGUGAUGAAGGUCUUCGGAUCGUAAAACUCUGUUAUUAGGGAAGAACAAAUGUGUAAGUAACUAUGCACGUCUUGACGGUACCUAAUCAGAAAGCCACGGCGAACUACGU
RNAcentral lists this ribosomal RNA (496 nucleotides) under uncultured bacterium. Its description in RNAcentral is "partial 16S ribosomal RNA". It matches the Rfam family "Bacterial small subunit ribosomal RNA", at positions 28 to 506 of the family's 1533-position model. The record is from RNAcentral.